This 460-nucleotide ribosomal RNA is filed under the name uncultured bacterium. Its description in RNAcentral is "partial 16S ribosomal RNA". It matches the Rfam family "Bacterial small subunit ribosomal RNA", at positions 338 to 795 of the family's 1533-position model. The record is from RNAcentral.
CCUACGGGUGGCAGCAGUGAGGAAUAUUGGUCAAUGGACGAGAGUCUGAACCAGCCAAGUAGCGUGAAGGAUGACUGCCCUAUGGGUUGUAAACUUCUUUUAUAUGGGAAUAAAAUGUUCCACGUGUGGGAUUUUGUAUGUACCAUAUGAAUAAGGAUCGGCUAACUCCGUGCCAGCAGCCGCGGUAAUACGGAGGAUCCGAGCGUUAUCCGGAUUUAUUGGGUUUAAAGGGAGCGUCGGUGGAUUGUUAAGUCAGUUGUGAAAGUUUGCGGCUCAACCGUAAAAUUGCAGUUGAAACUGGCAGUCUUGAGUACAGUAGAGGUGGGCGGAAUUCGGGGUGUAGCGGUGAAAUGCUUAGAUAUCACGAAGAACUCCGAUUGCGAAGGCAGUUCACUGGACUGCAACUGACACUGAGGCUCGAAAGUGUGGGUAUCAAACAGGAUUAGAUACCCUUGUAGUC